Molecule: long non-coding RNA, 307 nt
Organism: Perca flavescens (yellow perch)
Lineage: Eukaryota; Metazoa; Chordata; Actinopteri; Perciformes; Percidae
Exons: 3
Source: RefSeq, a predicted model, not a curated record
CUUGUUUCCUGUUCAAAGUUUAUUUUCACUUUACUCACUUUGUGGCGCAGUUUGUUCUCUCCGUGUGAAGCUCCAGCUGAAGGACCCAGACCCUGCUGAACCUGAACCUGAACCCAGCUGUGUCCAUGAAGAGAAUGGAGGAUGGAGACACCACUACUUUACUUUAAAAAAUAAAAAAGAAGCCAGCCUGAAAUGGAGAGGCCAACUAAAAUGGAGGAGGGGAGAAAUAAAAGAGAGAGGCUACUUGAAAUGGUGAAUAGAAGAGGGACCCAGCAGAGACCAGAACCUGAACCUGAACCUGAUCCUG